This 465-nucleotide ribosomal RNA is filed under the name uncultured bacterium. RNAcentral's name for it is "partial 16S ribosomal RNA". It matches the Rfam family "Bacterial small subunit ribosomal RNA", at positions 28 to 507 of the family's 1533-position model. The record is from RNAcentral.
GACGAACGCUGGCGGCGUGCUUAACACAUGCAAGUCGAACGGAAAGGCCCCUCUGGGGUUACUCGCGUGGCGAACGGGUGAGUAACACGUGCGUAAGCUGCCCUCGACUUCCUGAUAACUUCCUUCAACUAGCGCUAAUACCUGAUAGGUAUCCUCUCUUCCUGGUUGGGGUUGGAAAGCUUCGUCCGGUUGGGGUGGACUCGCUGCCUAUCCGCUUGCUGGUGGGGUGGUGGGUUACCUAGGCAUUGAUGGGUAGGCGGCCUGAGGGGGGGAACGGCCACAAUGGGACUGAGAUACGGCCCAGAAUCCUACGGGAGGGAGCAGGGGGGAAUAUUGGAAAAUGGGGGGAAGCCUGAUGCAGGAAAGCCGCGUGCAGGAUGACGGGCUUCGGGUUGUAAACCGCUUUCAGCAGGGGAGAAGCUUGUGGUGACGGUACCUGGAGAAGAAGCACCGGCUAACUACGUG